AAUCAAGGUGAAAGAAAUUGUAAGGUAUGCAACAGCAAAAACUUAGAGAGUAGCCUUCCAUUGUUUCUGAUGAAGAAAGUGACUACUGAAGAAAAAAAAUCUCAUUUGGUCUGUUGUGCUGAAAUCAGACCUGCAGCAGUAUCCGCUGACUUGGUGGCUUCAGUACUACCAUGAAGAACACAGUCUGCCACAGAAAAAGCACAUGAACAGAAAAGUGCACAGCAGAGCCACAAAAAAACUGAACUAAAGCCAGUCAUGCUGUUGGAUCAACAUCACUGCUCAGUGAGCAAAGCCACGACAAAGUGGCAAUGGCUUUGAAAAGAGACCAAGUACAGAAUGACAGAGAGGAAGUAAGGACCCUAAGUCAUCAGUUCCAGAGAAAGCCAAAAAGUAAACAGAAAAACUAUUUCUAAUAUUUGCUUUGGUAUUUCCAGCAUCUAGACCUAGUCCAUCCAGAGACAAAACACUAAUAAGAACAUAUUUCUUAAGCCCAGACAGAACACCCUCAACACUAAUGUUUUUCAUCCUGGUAGACAUAGGUUUUCAUUGUAUGAAUGCUGUUGAUAUGAGGCAUCUAAUCCUUUAAUAUGUAUAUUAGGCUCCUUAAAGACACAACACUUACGGUUAACAAAUGAGCAAGAGGGAAGGUGCUAGUAAAAACUGUGACAUGUAAUACUAAAGUUGCUCUCUUUUUUGCUCCUUCUCUCUCUCUCUCUCUCUUUGAGUGCUUGAGGAUAUAUUGAGAGAUUUUGUCCAGUUUCCUUGCAACCCUUUCUUUCCCUUGGGCUCAUAUCUGGAGAGCUUUAUAAUGAUGUUGUGGUUUCUCAAGGUCCAUAAAAAGCAGACCUUUGUUCAGCAGUAGAUUUCAUAUGAUGAUUUAGUGUUACUCUCAGCAAAUCCCUUCGUAUGUCUGGGACAGCCUUUUUAAAUGGUAUCAUAGCUUUCAUAAUUAUAAACUUCCUUCUGGUAGCUGCUAAUUUCUUUCGCUCUUUGAAUACCCAUUCUUAAGACUUUGAUUUCCUACUACAAGCAUGUGUUUGUUGUGGGAUAGGUUAUCUAUUUAAAACCAUUCCCAUUAUCGAAGAGUGUCUGUAAAUAAAGCAUAAUUCUUGUGAGGGAGCUGUCAUCUAGAAGUUGUACACGGAAUCUUAUCAGAUUAUAGAAAUAACAUUUCUGAGAAACGAAGGACAAAGAUGACCUAAAAUAAAUACAUACAGUCCUGCAAGUGACUCAGAAGAGGCAGAACCAGAGCCCACAAGCAGACAGCACAAUUAACAGGUUGUACUUCGCAUUGAUGUCCUAGAGAUUACAACUUCCCAAAAUUAAUCCCACUUUUCCAGCCAUUCUGGCCUCUUUCUAGCAGACAAGAAUUGACUCAUCAUCCCUCCUGGCCCCAGUGUCUAACCCAGAUAUUAGCCUUGAAUGAUUUUCCAGUUAAGAACUGAUAACAGCCACAGCAUCAUUCUAGUUACCCACCACUUUCUAUUUACUAUUGAGUCAUUGCUUUCUAGAACUCUGGGUUUCCAUGUUAUCUCUGCAAGGCUCUUUCAAGCUUAGCACAAAGUGCAGGUGUCUCCAGGUACACCCAAACCACUGUAACUUAAAAAAUAUUAUAACUCCUUUUUCUCUCUUUCCAGGAUGUUGUACUCUCCACAUCUGCAGUUGCAUUCACCCAUACUAUGUCCCUUUCCAGAUAACAUCCAGACAAAUUUGGAACAUGUUCCUGAGGCAUUCUGCAAGUGCCUUUGCUAUGAAAGUAUUACAAGCCUCACUGUUUCGUGUAGCUUGCUCAGAUGCUGUGAGAAGGCAAGCAAACCAGUUAAGCAAGUAUGUCACCAUGUACAUUUGUACCACUGCAUUGAGAUUCACAGAAUCAUUCACAGAGUGCAUAUAAACAAGUUUAGUUGAGGUUUGCCUAAUCCCACCUGGGACUUUUUGUAAGGCACUGUGCUUUGCAUUUAGAUUUCAUUUCAGCUGGCAGCUUUCAAACCAGAAACCACUCUAGGCUCCUUGCUCUGCUCAGUUGCCCUAAUUAAUAUAGACAUACAUAUAUGUGUAUAGGUAGAUAAUAUACAGCAGUACAGUGUAUGUAUGUCUAUAUAGUAUAUAUACAUAGUAUGUGUAUAUAUCAUAUUUCCUUACAGUGUAGUGGAACAAACACAUGGUUUAUUCUGUAUCUCUGAAACAAAUCAAGCUUUCAGGCUUUUUAUGGUAAGGAAGAGGAAUACUGGUAUGUUUAACCAAGUCUGCUGCCUAGUUCACCUUGUUAUUGCUAAUAGCCUCUCAGAACAUAAUGCUGCACUCCUGAGAAAAAACAAAGCAAACAGACUUUGGAAAAGAAUAGUGAGUAGUCCAGCCAUCUAUCUAUAUGGGGUAUAAAAUCUCUGCCUAAGAAAUCAUAAUGAAUGUACGGAUCCAUUG
Molecule: long non-coding RNA, 2421 nt
Organism: Gallus gallus (chicken)
Lineage: Eukaryota; Metazoa; Chordata; Aves; Galliformes; Phasianidae
Source: Ensembl